RNAcentral lists this non-coding RNA (286 nucleotides) under Carnobacterium sp. RNAcentral describes it as "T-box sequence". It matches the Rfam family "T-box leader". Rfam says of the family: Uncharged tRNA acts as the effector for transcription antitermination of genes in the T-box leader family. T-boxes are found upstream of many aminoacyl-tRNA synthetase genes and some amino acid biosynthetic genes usually in Gram-positive bacteria. The anticodon of a specific tRNA base pairs to a specifier sequence within the T-box motif, and the NCCA acceptor tail of the tRNA base pairs to a conserved bulge in the T-box antiterminator hairpin. The record is from RNAcentral. Lineage: Bacteria; Bacillati; Bacillota; Bacilli; Lactobacillales; Carnobacteriaceae.
UGAAAAACGAUGAAAAGAAAAGUACAAGUUGGAUGACAGCACAGCGAGUCCCGUCUGGUGGAAAGGGAUCUGGAAGAAAAUUUGGAAGUGCAUCUUGGAGUUGUAUGGUUGAAUGGACAUUUCUUUAGACCAUAUCGGGUUUGCCCGUUACAGCAAAUCGGUAUAUCCGUCUGUUAUUUAUGGCGCCGUACCGAAUUAAGCAUACAAAGUAAAACAAGAAUGGCAGUUCUUUUUCUCUUUGUAACCAUUAAGGUGGAACCGUAAAAUAUUGCAUUUUGCCCUUAAA